RNAcentral lists this ribosomal RNA (253 nucleotides) under uncultured bacterium. RNAcentral describes it as "partial 16S ribosomal RNA". It matches the Rfam family "Bacterial small subunit ribosomal RNA", at positions 524 to 776 of the family's 1533-position model. The record is from RNAcentral.
UACGUAGGGUCCGAGCGUUGUCCGGAAUUAUUGGGCGUAAAGAGCUCGUAGGCGGUUUGUCGCGUCUGCUGUGAAAUCCCGAGGCUCAACCUCGGGUCUGCAGUGGGUACGGGCAGACUGGAGUGCGGUAGGGGAGAAUGGAAUUCCUGGUGUAGCGGUGGAAUGCGCAGAUAUCAGGAAGAACACCCGUGGCGAAGGCGGCUCUCUGGGACGGUACUGACGCUGAGACGCGAAAGCGUGGGGAGCGAACAGG